Molecule: long non-coding RNA, 517 nt
Filed under: Salmo salar (Atlantic salmon)
Lineage: Eukaryota; Metazoa; Chordata; Actinopteri; Salmoniformes; Salmonidae
Description: lncRNA (ENSSSAG00000102225.1)
Source: RNAcentral
AAACAGGGAAGGACAGAGACAGAAACAGGGAAGGACAGAGACAGAAACAGGGAAAGACAGAGACAGAAACAGGGAAGGACAGAGACAGAAACAGGGGAGAGCAGAGACAGAAACAGGGGAGGACAGAGACAGAAACAGGGGAGAACAGAGGCAGAAACAGGGAAGGACAGAGACUGAAACAGGGGAGGACAGAGACAGACACAGGGGAGGACAGAGGCAGAAACAGGGGAGGACAGAGGCAGAAACAGGGAAGGACAGAGACAGAAACAGGGAAGGACAGAGACAGAAACAGGGAAGGACAGAGACAGAAACAGGAGAGGACAGAGACAGAAACAGGGAAGACAGAGGCAGAAACAGGGGAGAUCAGAGGCAGAAACAGGGAAGGACAGAGACAGAAACAGGGAAGGACAGAGACAGAAACAGGGAAGGACAGAGACAGAAACAGGAGAGGACAGAGACAGAAAAAGGGAAGACAGAGGCAGAAACAGGGGAGGACAGAGACAGAAACAGGGAAGGA